This 674-nucleotide ribosomal RNA is filed under the name uncultured bacterium. RNAcentral's name for it is "bacterial SSU rRNA". It matches the Rfam family "Bacterial small subunit ribosomal RNA", at positions 1 to 621 of the family's 1533-position model. The record is from RNAcentral.
UCCCCCGCAGUUUUGCGCGGGAAUCGAUUAGAGUUUGAUCCUGUCUCAGGACGAACGCUGGCGGCGUGCUUAACACAUGCAAGUCGAACGGGAGUAUUGAAGAAGCUUGCUUUAGAGAUACUUUAGUGGCGGACGGGUGAGUAACGCGUGAGGAGCUGUCCAAUGCAGGGGGACAACAGUUGGAAACGACUGCUAAUACCCCAUAAUGCCGAGAGGUAAAAUUGAGCGAUCCGGCAGAGGAUUGUACUCGCGUUCUAUCAGCUAGUAGGUGAGGUAACGGCUCACCUAUUGCGAAGACGGGUAGCCGGCCUGAGAGGGCGAACGGCACACUGGAAACUGAGAUACGNGUCCAGACUCCUACGGGAGGCAGCAGUGGGGAACUAUUGGUGCAAUGGGGGCAACCCUGACCCAGCUGACGCCGCGUGGGUGAAGAAACUCCCUCGGGAUGUAAAAGCCCUGUUGUAUUGGGAAGAGCAGAAGACUGGUACCCAUACGAGGAAGCCCCGGCAAACUACGUGCCAGCAGCCGCGGUAAUACGUAGUGGGGCAAGCGUUGUUCCGGAAAUUUCCUUGGGGCCGUUAAGCGCACGCAGGGCUGAAUUCAUACGUCCGGUAGUCAAAAUAACGGGAGGCCUUCAAAGCUUUCCGGGCAUNUUCUAUCNGAUACCUGUUAAU